UACGUAGGGUGCGAGCGUUGUCCGGAAUUAUUGGGCGUAAAGAGCUUGUAGGCGGUUUGUCGCGUCUGCCCGUGAAAAGCCCAGGGCUUAACCCCUGGGUCUGCGGUGGGUACGGGCAGACUAGAGUACUGCAGGGGAGACUGGAAUUCCUGGUGUAGCGGUGGAAUGCGCAGAUAUCAGGAGGAACACCGGUGGCGAAGGCGGGUCUCUGGGCAGUAACUGACGCUGAGGAGCGAAAGCAUGGGGAGCGAACAGG
Molecule: ribosomal RNA, 256 nt
Filed under: uncultured bacterium
Lineage: Bacteria
Description: partial 16S ribosomal RNA
Rfam family: Bacterial small subunit ribosomal RNA
Source: RNAcentral